AUUGAACGCUGGCGGCAGGCCUAACACAUGCAAGUCGAGCGGAUGAAGGGAGCUUGCUCCUGGAUUCAGCGGCGGACGGGUGAGUAAUGCCUAGGAAUCUGCCUGGUAGUGGGGGAUAACGUCCGGAAACGGGCGCUAAUACCGCAUACGUCCUGAGGGAGAAAGUGGGGGAUCCUCGGACCUCACGCUAUCAGAUGAGCCUAGGUCGGAUUAGCUAGUUGGUGGGGUAAAGGCCUACCAAGGCGACGAUCCGUAACUGGUCUGAGAGGAUGAUCAGUCACACUGGAACUGAGACACGGUCCAGACUCCUACGGGAGGCAGCAGUGGGGAAUAUUGGACAAUGGGCGAAAGCCUGAUCCAGCCAUGCCGCGUGUGUGAAGAAGGUCUUCGGAUUGUAAAGCACUUUAAGUUGGGAGGAAGGGCAGUAAGUUAAUACCUUGCUGUUUUGACGUGACCAACAGAAUAAGCACCGGCUAACUUCGU
Molecule: ribosomal RNA, 483 nt
Filed under: uncultured bacterium
Lineage: Bacteria
Description: partial 16S ribosomal RNA
Rfam family: Bacterial small subunit ribosomal RNA
Source: RNAcentral